Silurus meridionalis is the source of this 436-nucleotide long non-coding RNA. RefSeq lists it as uncharacterized. The record is from RefSeq and is a predicted model, not a curated record. NCBI's taxonomy places the organism in Eukaryota, Metazoa, Chordata, Actinopteri, Siluriformes, Siluridae. The transcript has 3 exons.
CUCUGUUUUAAAAGCACAUGGGAUAUAGUGCUGCUUUGUUUGGUUGUGUUUGAAGUCGCCCCAGAGGAGAGGCAGAUAAAUUGAGCAAUGCUGACUGUGUAUGUUGACAGCUGCUGGUGUAGGUCAACACAGCCUUGAUAUCACGGCAUAGAGAUGGCUUCAGCCUGUCUUUCAGCUCUGGACGAAGAGCUCUUGUACGUCUGGAGAAGAAGAGCUGUUUUAAGUGAUGGAGCUGAUCUACAGCACUUUGCAAAAUGGUUCCAUUUACCACAAUUGUUGCACUGUUUCUGGAAAGCAAAGCAUUAAGUUUGUCAGGGGCGUGGUAUCUGUUACAGUUUAUGCAGCGAUCUUGCACAACACAUACAUCAGCCUCCUGUUUUAGUUCUUUCGUGCUCUUCUCGGACUGUUCACGUAAUAAACAUAUAUUGACUGCUGA